UACGUAGGGUGCGAGCGUUAAUCGGAAUUACUGGGCGUAAAGCGUGCGCAGGCGGUUUUGUAAGCCAGAUGUGAAAUCCCCGGGCUUAACCUGGGAAUGGCAUUUGUGACUGCAUCGCUGGAGUGCGGCAGAGGGGGAUGGAAUUCCGCGUGUAGCAGUGAGAUGCGUAGAUAUGCGGAGGAACACCGAUGGCGAAGGCAAUCCCCUGGGCCUGCACUGACGCUCAUGCACGAAAGCGUGGGGAGCAAACAGG
RNAcentral lists this ribosomal RNA (253 nucleotides) under uncultured bacterium. Its description in RNAcentral is "partial 16S ribosomal RNA". It matches the Rfam family "Bacterial small subunit ribosomal RNA", at positions 524 to 776 of the family's 1533-position model. The record is from RNAcentral.